Molecule: non-coding RNA, 838 nt
Filed under: Sclerophyllia maxima
Lineage: Eukaryota; Metazoa; Cnidaria; Anthozoa; Scleractinia; Lobophylliidae
Description: sequence contains 18S rRNA gene, ITS1, 5.8S rRNA gene, ITS2, 28S rRNA gene
Rfam family: 5.8S ribosomal RNA (bases 414-567)
Source: RNAcentral
ACAGAGCGCCGGAUGCCGGAAAGUUGGUCAAACUUGAUCAUUUAGAGGAAGUAAAAGUCGUAACAAGGUUUCCGUAGGUGAACCUGCGGAAGGAUCAUUACCGAUCUAGUAUCAUCCAUGACCAUACACCACACAGGUUGGUGGUUUGCCGUGUGAACCGUACUUACUACUUUUAGGGGUCGGCCGGCCAGGCCGUUAAAUGGCGAAUCGGACGUGACGCCCGGCCGUCCGCCUUUAGGGUUAGGUCUAGGUCUUGUAGGUCUAGGUCUAGGUCUUCUAGGUCUAGGUCUAGGUCGCGGCCGCCUCGCCAGCCCCGCCUGCGGUUUUUUUUUCUCAACGUACGCGUCUGAUAAAGUGUCUUCUUCCGUCUGCCAGACGGAGGAGGAAAGAGAAAGCAAAAAAGCGAGAGAGACAACUUUUGACGGUGGAUCUCUUGGCUCACGCAUCGAUGAAGAACGCAGCCAGCUGCGAUAAGUAGUGUGAAUUGCAGAAUUCAGUGAAUCAUCGAAUCUUUGAACGCAAAUGGCGCUCUUGGGUUCUCCCAGGAGCAUGUCUGUCUGAGUGUCGGAUAUCAUCCAUCGCAGGCAAAUGCUUGCGGCGUUGAGGCGUCACGGCCGCCGGGAGUCGGUCGGCCGUGUCCCUUGAAAGGCAGAGAGACUCGCUGCGGCGGUUUUCCGUGGGUUACGUACGUUACGUUUCCCGCGGCGCAUCAGCGGAGGCCAAAAGCGUCGGCAGUCCUCCGCGGGAUGUAUGCCGCCUGGAUGCCGCCGCCGUCAGAGUCGCACGGGCGAAAGGUGUGUGUGUCAAGCACAUCCCUCUCUUUCUCUUGACCUCAGAU